Long non-coding RNA from Corvus hawaiiensis (hawaiian crow), 202 nucleotides. RefSeq lists it as uncharacterized. The record is from RefSeq and is a predicted model, not a curated record. The transcript has 4 exons. Lineage: Eukaryota; Metazoa; Chordata; Aves; Passeriformes; Corvidae.
GAGCUCUGCAGAGUCACUGAAUCACAGAAUAUCCUCAGCUGGGAAGGACCACCAGGAUCACCCAGUCCAGCUGCUGGCUCUGCACAGACACUCCAGCAAUCCCACCCUGGGCAUUCCUGGGAGCAGUGUCCAAAUGUUCCUGGAGCUCUGGCAGCCUCGGGGCCGUGACCUUUCCCUGGAGAGCCUCUUCAGUGCCCAGCAC